RNAcentral lists this ribosomal RNA (472 nucleotides) under Shigella flexneri. Its description in RNAcentral is "bacterial SSU rRNA". It matches the Rfam family "Bacterial small subunit ribosomal RNA", at positions 1 to 470 of the family's 1533-position model. Lineage: Bacteria; Pseudomonadati; Pseudomonadota; Gammaproteobacteria; Enterobacterales; Enterobacteriaceae. The record is from RNAcentral.
AAAUUGAAGAGUUUGAUCAUGGCUCAGAUUGAACGCUGGCGGCAGGCCUAACACAUGCAAGUCGAACGGUAACAGGAAGCGCUUGCUGCUUCGCUGACGAGUGGCGGACGGGUGAGUAAUGUCUGGGAAACUGCCUGAUGGAGGGGGAUAACUACUGGAAACGGUAGCUAAUACCGCAUAACGUCGCAAGACCAAAGAGGGGGACCUUCGGGCCUCUUGCCAUCGGAUGUGCCCAGAUGGGAUUAGCUUGUUGGUGGGGUAACGGCUCACCAAGGCGACGAUCCCUAGCUGGUCUGAGAGGAUGACCAGCCACACUGGGACUGAGACACGGUCCAGACUCCUACGGGAGGCAGCAGUGGGGAAUAUUGCACAAUGGGCGCAAGCCUGAUGCAGCCAUGCCGCGUGUAUGAAGAAGGCCUUCGGGUUGUAAAGUACUUUCAGCGGGGAGGAAGGGAGUAAAGUUAAUACCUUU